AACGAACGCUGGCGGCGCGCUUAACACAUGCAAGUCGCACGGGGUGCAUGCCUUCGGGUGUGGACCUAGUGGCGCACGGGUGAGUAACGCGUGGGCACCUGCCCUGAGCUCUGGGACAACCACGGGAAACUGUGGCUAAUACCGGAUGAUCCCCCUGGUUUCGGCCUGGGGGCAAAGUUCUCCUUCGGGAGGGCGGCUUUGGAUGGGCCCGCGUCCGAUUAGCUCGUUGGUGGGGUAACGGCCCACCAAGGCAGUGAUCGGUAGCUGGUCUGAGAGGAUGAUCAGCCACACUGGGACUGAGACACGGCCCAGACUCCUACGGGAGGCAGCAGUGGGGAAUCUUGGACAAUGGGCGCAAGCCUGAUCCAGCGACGCCGCGUGGGUGAGGAAGGCCUUCGGGUUGUAAAGCCCUUUCACCGGGGACGAUGAUGACGGUACCCGGAGAAGAAGCACCGGCUAACUCCG
This 465-nucleotide ribosomal RNA is filed under the name uncultured Rhodospirillales bacterium. RNAcentral describes it as "bacterial SSU rRNA". It matches the Rfam family "Bacterial small subunit ribosomal RNA", at positions 28 to 505 of the family's 1533-position model. The record is from RNAcentral. Lineage: Bacteria; Pseudomonadati; Pseudomonadota; Alphaproteobacteria; Rhodospirillales.